GAUGAACGCUGGCGGCGUGCCUAAUACAUGCAAGUCGAGCGAACAGACGAGGAGCUUGCUCCUCUGACGUUAGCGGCGGACGGGUGAGUAACACGUGGAUAACCUACCUAUAAGACUGGGAUAACUUCGGGAAACCGGAGCUAAUACCGGAUAAUAUAUUGAACCGCAUGGUUCAAUAGUGAAAGACGGUUUUGCUGUCACUUAUAGAUGGAUCCGCGCCGCAUUAGCUAGUUGGUAAGGUAACGGCCUACCAAGGCGACGAUGCGUAGCCGACCUGAGAGGGUGAUCGGCCACACUGGAACUGAGACACGGUCCAGACUCCUACGGGAGGCAGCAGUAGGGAAUCUUCCGCAAUGGGCGAAAGCCUGACGGAGCAACGCCGCGUGGGUGAUGAAGGUCUUCGGAUCGUAAAACUCUGUUAUUAGGGAAGAACAAAUGUGUAAGUAACUAUGCACGUCUUGACGGUACCUAAUCAGAAAGCCACGGCUAACUACGUG
This 497-nucleotide ribosomal RNA is filed under the name uncultured bacterium. RNAcentral's name for it is "partial 16S ribosomal RNA". It matches the Rfam family "Bacterial small subunit ribosomal RNA", at positions 28 to 507 of the family's 1533-position model. The record is from RNAcentral.